UUUAUGGAGAGUUUGAUCCUGGCUCAGGAUGAACGCUGGCGGCGUGCCUAAUACAUGCAAGUCGAGCGAACGGACGAGAAGCUUGCUUCUCUGAUGUUAGCGGCGGACGGGUGAGUAACACGUGGAUAACCUACCUAUAAGACUGGGAUAACUUCGGGAAACCGGAGCUAAUACCGGAUAAUAUUUUGAACCGCAUGGUUCAAAAGUGAAAGACGGUCUUGCUGUCACUUAUAGAUGGAUCCGCGCUGCAUUAGCUAGUUGGUAAGGUAACGGCUUACCAAGGCAACGAUGCAUAGCCGACCUGAGAGGGUGAUCGGCCACACUGGAACUGAGACACGGUCCAGACUCCUACGGGAGGCAGCAGUAGGGAAUCUUCCGCAAUGGGCGAAAGCCUGACGGAGCAACGCCGCGUGAGUGAUGAAGGUCUUCGGAUCGUAAAACUCUGUUAUUAGGGAAGAACAUAUGUGUAAGUAACUGUGCACAUCUUGACGGUACCUAAUCAGAAAGCCACGGCUAACUACGUGCCAGCAGCCGCGGUAAUACGUAGGUGGCAAGCGUUAUCCGGAAUUAUUGGGCGUAAAGCGCGCGUAGGCGGUUUUUUAAGUCUGAUGUGAAAGCCCACGGCUCAACCGUGGAGGGUCAUUGGAAACUGGAAAACUUGAGUGCAGAAGAGGAAAGUGGAAUUCCAUGUGUAGCGGUGAAAUGCGCAGAGAUAUGGAGGAACACCAGUGGCGAAGGCGACUUUCUGGUCUGUAACUGACGCUGAUGUGCGAAAGCGUGGGGAUCAAACAGGAUUAGAUACCCUGGUAGUCCACGCCGUAAACGAUGAGUGCUAAGUGUUAGGGGUUUCCGCCCCUUAGUGCUGCAGCUAACGCAUUAAGCACUCCGCCUGGGGAGUACGACCGCAAGGUUGAAACUCAAAGGAAUUGACGGGGACCCGCACAAGCGGUGGAGCAUGUGGUUUAAUUCGAAGCAACGCGAAGAACCUUACCAAAUCUUGACAUCCUUUGACAACUCUAGAGAUAGAGCCUUCCCCUUCGGGGGACAAAGUGACAGGUGGUGCAUGGUUGUCGUCAGCUCGUGUCGUGAGAUGUUGGGUUAAGUCCGCAACGAGCGCAACCCUUAAGCUUAGUUGCCAUCAUUAAGUUGGGCACUCUAAGUUGACUGCCGGUGACAAACCGGAGGAAGGUGGGGAUGACGUCAAAUCAUCAUGCCCCUUAUGAUUUGGGCUACACACGUGCUACAAUGGACAAUACAAAGGGCAGCGAAACCGCGAGGUCAAGCAAAUCCCAUAAAGUUGUUCUCAGUUCGGAUUGUAGUCUGCAACUCGACUACAUGAAGCUGGAAUCGCUAGUAAUCGUAGAUCAGCAUGCUACGGUGAAUACGUUCCCGGGUCUUGUACACACCGCCCGUCACACCACGAGAGUUUGUAACACCCGAAGCCGGUGGAGUAACCUUUUAGGAGCUAGCCGUCGAAGGUGGGACAAAUGAUUGGGGUGAAGUCGUAACAAGGUAGCCGUAUCGGAAGGUGCGGCUGGAUCACCUCCUUU
RNAcentral lists this ribosomal RNA (1550 nucleotides) under Staphylococcus aureus. RNAcentral's name for it is "16S ribosomal RNA". It matches the Rfam family "Bacterial small subunit ribosomal RNA". Lineage: Bacteria; Bacillati; Bacillota; Bacilli; Caryophanales; Staphylococcaceae. The record is from RNAcentral.